CCUGCCUCCGCACUCGAGACGGCAGCUUUCUCUCCCUCCGCCCACCGUUCCGCCGCUAGGUGGCAGGCGGCUCAACGACGCCCUUUUAAACCGUUUGCCCCGGAGUGGACCGCCGGGAUCGCGUGUCACCACCCAACCCUAGCGAUGAUUGGCUAUUUCGCCGAGGCCGGAGGAGGAACCAGCGGCAGAACCGGAAGCGUCUGGUACGGCGAGUGCACGGAGUCCUGAGACUGCGUGCGCACCCAGGCACCGCGCCGACUUAAAGAGGCCAGUUGCAGCCCCUCCUCCGGCCUUAGGGGGCAGACCGUGUUCCUACGUGGAGGGCGGAACCCUCACACUGAGGAGGGCUGGGUCACACUGAGGGGAGGAGUCACCUUGAGAGGAGGGGUCACAAUGACUAGUGGAUUUCCUCGGAGGUGGGGUCUCACUGCGUGGGAGGAACACAGAGCAAGGGGGUGCAGCACUGAGGGGUUCUGACACACUGACGGUGGCAGUGCCACACUGGGGAAAAGUGCCCCCGAAAGGGAGGUGUCUCACUGAGGAAGGGAGGGGUCUCCGAGGGACAGCGUUCUUUGAGGGGGGUGGGAUCUUGCGGAAGGACGGGCUUCCCUGCAGGUGGAGGCUUCUCUCUUAGAGUCUUUUGGGCAAAGUAGUAAGAGGGAGGUCCCGGCUGGGUGGUCACAGGGCGGAGGACCUGGACUCUCUUCUUUAUUGGGAGGCGGCAGGAUGAAGUGAGGAGGAGUCGGGGCUAAGCUGGGUAUGGGCCGGCCAAAGGCUUCCUAUAGCCCCGGGGUAUCACAACCUCCCGUGAAGGUAGAAGGUGUUAGGGAGGCCAGAGGUUCAAGGUGUCGGAGUCGAAGAGACCUGGGAAAUGGGCAGGCUGGGCCGGGGCGCAGGCCAGGAAGGUGGACAGGUUGCUAGGCUACCUCUGAUUGCGGCUGGGCCUGAGGGGCCUACCUUUCUGCCCCGUUGGUCCCUGGAGCCCAGGAAUCCGGCAGGUUUCUGAGCCCGACCCUCAACGGACAGUAACCCAGGGAGGAGAGGGGACUCCCUGGGCAGCUAAGCUUCGCAUGCGCACCAUCAGCCCUUAAUUCCCUCCCGUUAUUCAAGCUCAGGCCGGAGCUUAUUUGACCCGGGCGGCCCAGGGCAUCGCGGCCGGAAAGCGGGGAGGCGGGGGUGCGCACCUGAGGGGGCGUGGCCGCUGCCGGGAGGCCGGGCUGGAAGGAGUUAAGCGGAGGCCCGGCCCAGCCCCGCCCC
This 1257-nucleotide long non-coding RNA is filed under the name Homo sapiens (human). Its description in RNAcentral is "HSALNT0148497". Lineage: Eukaryota; Metazoa; Chordata; Mammalia; Primates; Hominidae. The record is from RNAcentral.